RNAcentral lists this ribosomal RNA (775 nucleotides) under uncultured Neocallimastigales. Its description in RNAcentral is "partial large subunit ribosomal RNA". It matches the Rfam family "Eukaryotic large subunit ribosomal RNA", at positions 20 to 644 of the family's 3401-position model. The record is from RNAcentral. Lineage: Eukaryota; Fungi; Neocallimastigomycota; Neocallimastigomycetes; Neocallimastigales.
UACUAGAGUAGCACUCGCAUAUCAAUAAGCGGAGGAAAAGAAACUAACAAGGAUUCCCUUAGUAACGGCGAGUGAAGCGGGAAGAGCUCAAAUUUGAAAUCUUCAAGGUUUUACCUUGACGAAUUGUAGUUUAAAGAAGUGUUUUCUGUUGAAGUUUUGGUAAAAGUUCUUUGGAAUAGGACAUCAUAGAGGGUGAGAAUCCCGUAUUUGACCGUUAUUUUCCAGCUGUGUGAUACACUUUCAAAGAGUCGGAUUGUUUGGGAAUGCAGUCCAAAAUGGGUGGUAAAUUUCAUCUAAAGCUAAAUAUUGGCGAGAGACCGAUAGCGAACAAGUACCGUGAGGGAAAGAUGAAAAGAACUUUGAAAAGAGAGUUAAACAGUACGUGAAAUUGUCAAAAGGGAAGCGUUUGACACCAGUGUUGUUUUCUCGAAAAUCAAUUAAAAAUGAUGGGAUUUUGUGUUGUAUUGACUUUAUCAGCUUUCUGCACUUUUUUCUUAUCUUUUUUAAUGCACUUUUCGUUUAACAAGUCAACAUCAAUUUCUUUUGUUGUAAAAGAGUCAUUGGAAGGUGGCUUUUUCUUCGGAAAAAGUGUUUAUAGCCUUUGGCUUCUGCAAUCGGAGAGAUUGAGGUCUGCAGCGUAGAUCCUUCGGGGUUAGAUGCAUUUGUGCUAAGCUAUAGUUCUUUAUAGACAACUUGUUGACUAUAAUCAAUCCUGUAACUUACUCGCUUAUGCUAUUUUACCUACGCUUAGGAUGUUGAAGAUAUGCGCGACACG